UCUCUGAUGUUAGCGGCGGACGGGUGAGUAACACGUGGAUAACCUACCUAUAAGACUGGGAUAACUUCGGGAAACCGGAGCUAAUACCGGAUAAUAUUUUGAACCGCAUGGUUCAAAAGUGAAAGACGGUCUUGCUGUCACUUAUAGAUGGAUCCGCGCUGCAUUAGCUAGUUGGUAAGGUAACGGCUUACCAAGGCAACGAUGCAUAGCCGACCUGAGAGGGUGAUCGGCCACACUGGAACUGAGACACGGUCCAGACUCCUACGGGAGGCAGCAGUAGGGAAUCUUCCGCAAUGGGCGAAAGCCUGACGGAGCAACGCCGCGUGAGUGAUGAAGGUCUUCGGAUCGUAAAACUCUGUUAUUAGGGAAGAACAUAUGUGUAAGUAACUGUGCACAUCUUGACGGUACCUAAUCAGAAAGCCACGGCUAACUACGUGCCAGCAGCCGCGGUAAUACGUAGGUGGCAAGCGUUAUCCGGAAUUAUUGGGCGUAAAGCGCGCGUAGGCGGUUUUUUAAGUCUGAUGUGAAAGCCCACGGCUCAACCGUGGAGGGUCAUUGGAAACUGGAAAACUUGAGUGCAGAAGAGGAAAGUGGAAUUCCAUGUGUAGCGGUGAAAUGCGCAGAGAUAUGGAGGAACACCAGUGGCGAAGGCGACUUUCUGGUCUGUAACUGACGCUGAUGUGCGAAAGCGUGGGGAUCAAACAGGAUUAGAUACCCUGGUAGUCCACGCCGUAAACGAUGAGUGCUAAGUGUUAGGGGGUUUCCGCCCCUUAGUGCUGCAGCUAACGCAU
RNAcentral lists this ribosomal RNA (791 nucleotides) under Staphylococcus aureus. RNAcentral's name for it is "bacterial SSU rRNA". It matches the Rfam family "Bacterial small subunit ribosomal RNA", at positions 83 to 860 of the family's 1533-position model. The record is from RNAcentral. Lineage: Bacteria; Bacillati; Bacillota; Bacilli; Caryophanales; Staphylococcaceae.